GAGGCUAGAGAGGGGCAUAGGGUGGGAUUACCAGCCAGGCAGAAGGGUGAGGUCAGGUCAGGUCUUAGAGAAAAAGCCCGGAAUGUCAAGAAGCAGGAGUCAUAUCCACCCAGUCCUGGUAGGAAGGUUCAGUGAGGCCCAGCAUCAAGCCUGGGGUGAGGGGGCCUGGGACAGCUGGUGGGCUCAGGCUGGGCAGCAAAGCUUCCAGAAUAUCAGGGUGGGUAAGGUUCUCUGAGCCCAACAUUCUCUUUUUCAAAUAUGGGAGCAGGUAGCAGAGUGGGGUCUCGAAGUGUGUGCAAAGUCCAAGUCUCCAGAUUCCCAGGCUGGGGUCCACCCCCUACACCUGGAGCAAAGUUCCAGUGUUUCCUUGAUUAAUUAUGCAGGUGCCACCCAUGGAGGUCACAUGGGGAGGUAGUCAGGAGCAUGCACUCUGGACCACAUGCCUGCCCUGACUCCCAGCCCCCCUUAUGGAAUGUGUGUCCCUGGGCAAGUCAUGUGCCCUGAGUCACACUGCAGUGAUUUCCUUACUGCAGAGCACAAUGCCCACCUCCACGUCUUCCCUAGGAAUUCUUAGAUGACAGAGAAAGCCUUUUGCAAGGAUGACAUCAUAAUCUUGGAAAACAAGACAGAAUGCCAUCUGUGGACCGAAAAUGCCAUGAUGGAUGUUAACUGAGUACCGCCCAGCUGAAGACUUCGUUUCCUGGGCUUCCUAUCAGCUAGGUGUGGUCUGUGGCUGGUGUGAACCCAAAACAUAUAUACAACUCCAGGUCUUGCCCUCCCCUUUCUCUUUCCUGUUGAUCAGGAUGUGGGUGUGAUGGUGGGAGAUGGGAGCCAAAUGCUGUGGAUGACAGAAGAGUAAGAUCAAAGAUACCCAUGCUGUGAAGCCACCAUAUCAGCCCAUGGCCACUUACACUCAGACUGUUACACAAGACGAAUAAACUCUGUCUCUUCUGAGCCA
Myotis brandtii (Brandt's bat) is the source of this 958-nucleotide long non-coding RNA. RefSeq lists it as uncharacterized. NCBI's taxonomy places the organism in Eukaryota, Metazoa, Chordata, Mammalia, Chiroptera, Vespertilionidae. The record is from RefSeq and is a predicted model, not a curated record. The transcript has 2 exons.